This 253-nucleotide ribosomal RNA is filed under the name uncultured bacterium. RNAcentral's name for it is "partial 16S ribosomal RNA". It matches the Rfam family "Bacterial small subunit ribosomal RNA", at positions 524 to 776 of the family's 1533-position model. The record is from RNAcentral.
UACAGAGGGGGCUAGCGUUGUUCGGAAUUACUGGGCGUAAAGGGCGCGUAGGUGGCCUGUUAAGUCGAACGUGAAAUCCCCGGGCUUAACCUGGGAACUGCAUUUGUGACUGCAUGGCUGGAGUGCGGCAGAGGGGGAUGGAAUUCCGCGUGUAGCAGUGAAAUGCGUAGAUAUGCGGAGGAACACCGAUGGCGAAGGCAAUCCCCUGGGCCUGCACUGACGCUCAUGCACGAAAGCGUGGGGAGCAAACAGG